RNAcentral lists this ribosomal RNA (376 nucleotides) under Nematoda sp. RNAcentral's name for it is "SSU rRNA". It matches the Rfam family "Eukaryotic small subunit ribosomal RNA", at positions 252 to 626 of the family's 1831-position model. Lineage: Eukaryota; Metazoa; Nematoda. The record is from RNAcentral.
CUGAAUAACUACGCAAAUCGAUUAGGUUUUAAACCGGCGAUGUGUCCUUCAGGUGGCUGCCUUAUCUACUUUCGAUGGUAGCUUCUGUGACUACCAUGGGUGCGACGGGAAACGGAGAAUUAGGGUUCGACUCCGGAGAGGGAGCCUGAGAAACGGCUACCACUUUGAAGGAAGGCAGGAGGCGCUACUAUUACCCACUCUCGGAAAGAGGAGGUAGUGACGAAAAAUAACGAGAUAACCCGCUCUAGCGAGUUAUCAUCGGAAUGAGUACAAUCUAAAUCCUUUAACGAGGACCUAGCGGAGGGCAAGUCUGGUGCCAGCAGCCGCGGUAAUUCCAGCUCCGCCAGUGUAUAUCUAUGCUGCUGCGGUUAAAAAG